Molecule: long non-coding RNA, 283 nt
Organism: Mytilus trossulus (common blue mussel)
Lineage: Eukaryota; Metazoa; Mollusca; Bivalvia; Mytilida; Mytilidae
Exons: 3
Source: RefSeq, a predicted model, not a curated record
GUUACUUUCUUAUAUGCAAUGAAAUGUAGUGUGAAAUUUUCACUGUAGCACUGGAAAGGAUUAAACUUUAUACAUUCAAAGUAUUUCUUUGGUUGAAAUAAAGUGUUAACCAUGUUCUGAAGAGCGUUCUGUUGAAAAAAUUUAUAUGUGAAUUGGUCUGCAGAUGACACUUCAGCAUUAAAACAGAAGAUAUCAAGUUUUGAUGGAAAAAGAAGGAAGAAGGAAAAAUGGACCAAAACAGACCAAAACAGACCUUCAAAUGAACUCUAAAAGGUGCAAUAAA